Molecule: ribosomal RNA, 253 nt
Filed under: uncultured bacterium
Lineage: Bacteria
Description: partial 16S ribosomal RNA
Rfam family: Bacterial small subunit ribosomal RNA
Source: RNAcentral
UACGUAGGGUGCGAGCGUUAAUCGGAAUUACUGGGCGUAAAGCGUGCGCAGGCGGUUUUGUAAGCCGGAUGUGAAAUCCCCGGGCUUAACCUGGGAAUGGCAUUCGGGACUGCAAGGCUGGAGUGCGGCAGAGGAGACUGGAAUUCCUGGUGUAGCAGUGAAAUGCGUAGAUAUCAGGAGGAACACCGGUGGCGAAGGCAGCUCGCUGGGACGGUACUGACGCUGAGGCGCGAAAGCGUGGGGAGCGAACAGG